CAAACCAGUCUCUCUCGAGUUCGCCGCAUUCACGCAAGCAGAUCUCUAGCUCUAGAAGCCUCUUUUCUUUUCCUGCUUUGACAAGGUUUUCGCACCGCGUCAAACUUGCGUUUUUACGCAAUUAACAGUUUUUUCGCGGCGGAAAGUGGUGAAAACAUCGCGCAUCGUGGCAACUAGGGUGCUGCGAGUUCUGAAUUUCAUCUUUUCGACGGAACUUUGACGAGGGGACACGACUUGAUUCGAUUCGAAUGUGUGUGUUUGUGGAUAACACCUAACGCGUUGCCAGUUGAUUGUGGUGGAUUAAUCGCGUGAUAACAGUGUUUUCUUGUUUUCGUUGUGCAAGUGGUGAAAUUGCUGUAUCGCGUGGUGCAUUUGUUGGUGUGUUGGUGCAUGACGUGCCCCUUUUUCGGUUGUUUUGAUUCGUUGUGCUUGCGUGCCGAGUGUUCUGACUGUUGAUUUUGACAGUUUGUUCGAAGGGAGAGAGAGUUUGCUGGUCUUUCUCUCGCAGUUUUCUCUGUGUUGAUUUUUUAUAUGACUAGUUGUAGUGUUUGGCGAGAGUGACAGUUUGUGUUUCUCACCACGCCGCCACGGCACCAUAUCAUUCACCUCGCUCUUCGGCGGACACCAUUCGCCACCCUCCAUCCAUACCGACACCGUAGUCGUACAGCUGCCGUCACGGUGCGAAGCGAACAGAGUCGUUGAAGCGCUUUAACCUUUCUGACAUUGAAACUGCUCGCGUUUGGCGAGUAGCACUCACUCCUCUCUGUGAAUCGGUUGCGAUCGGUAGCAAAUUAGAGUCUUUUCUUGCACAAAGGCAAGAAAAGAAAAAAAAAGUCGGAAGUUAUACUUUCAUUGGCGACGAGUCUUCCAAAAACGGACCGGGAACGGAUGGUUUAACCUGUCGUGAAGUGUUUUAGUCGUUGACCGUAACUAUUUGUAUGAUUUUCAUUGCGGGAAUCAUUUCGUGUUGAUCGGGAACCGCGAGUAGACGGAGGUGGCCGAGCAGGAAGAAAAUUAGCAGUUAUCGAAAAAUGGCUAAAGACGAAGAGGAUGAUCUGCUGCCCGACAAGGAUGCGGCCAAGGGAUUCUACGCCAAGUAUGAACCGAAGGAGAUUCUGGGCAGAGGCAUCAGUUCAACCGUGCGGCGCUGCAUCGAGAAGGAAACGGGCAAGGAGUUUGCGGCGAAAAUCAUCGAUCUCGGUGCGAUCGAAUCGGGCGAUUCCAAUCACAUGCUGGAAGCGACCCGCCAGGAGAUUCAAAUCCUGCGGCAAGUGAUGGGUCACAAGUACAUCAUUGAACUUCAGGAUGUGUUCGAGUCGGACGCUUUCAUUUUUCUGGUGUUCGAGUUGUGCCGGCAGGGCGAGCUGUUUGACUAUCUGACCUCGGUGGUGACGCUGUCCGAGAAGAAGUCACGCUAUAUUAUGAGGCAAAUCUUCGAAGGUGUGGACUACAUUCACUCGAAGAACAUCGUACACCGUGAUUUGAAACCGGAGAACAUCCUGCUGGAUGACUGUCUGAAUGUGAAGAUUACCGAUUUCGGCUUUGCACGGAAGCUGAAGGAAGGCGAGAAGCUGUUCGAUUUGUGCGGCACGCCUGGUUACUUAGCCCCGGAAACGCUCAAGUGUAACAUGUUCGAAGAUGCACCCGGCUACUCCAAGGAAGUAGACAUUUGGGCGUGUGGCGUUAUCAUGUUCACACUGCUGGUCGGCUGUCCCCCGUUCUGGCAUCGGAAGCAGAUGGUCAUGCUGCGGAACAUCAUGGAGGGCAAAUACAGUUUCACCUCGCCCGAGUGGGCCGACAUUUCAGAGGACCCCAAGGACCUGAUCCGCAAGUGUCUGGUGGUGGACCCCAGCAAGCGCAUCACCGUAACCGAGGCCUUGAAGCAUCCGUUCUUCAACACAGUACUUUUCGAACAAGACAUUGGCCCGUUGAAGCGCAGCCUGUCGGCCAAGUCGCGACGCUUGAGUCGUAUCGCCGAUCUGGCACUGAACGUCACGGAAAAAUUACGCAAACAAAGUCAGUUUAACGCUAGGAAAAAGUUCCAAUUCGCUAUCCUAUGUAUUAGAGCAAUGGUUAGAAUAAAGAGGCUACGGUACACGCCGGAACCGCUGCGGGCCGAGGACGCCCUAAGAGACCCCUACCGCAUCAAGGUGCUGCGAAAGGUCAUCGAUGGCUGCGCAUUUCGAGUGUACGGCCACUGGGUCAAGAAGGGCGAGGGCCAGAAUCGGGCCGCCCUGUUCGAGAAUACGCCUCGAUGCGAGGUUUAUAACCUUUAUAUCAACAGCCUUAAUCGAUAGGCUGUAGAACAGAAGCAAUGCGAAAAGCACAGCCUACUGCGACGACGACGGCAGGACAAGUGAACUCCCGAUGUGCUAGGUAUUUUCUGGAUGUUUUUCUUUUGGAUGUUUCGUGAUGGAUCACUGACUACUUAGAGCACACAGAGAAAAAGCACCCUAUCCAGCAUGUUCCUUAGAAGAAAAGCGCGAGUGACUGAGACAGUUUCGUUUGGAAGAGUUCGUAUGACUAGGUGCAGCAUUGACUUGCCAUUUGGGAACGGAGAGGAGUCGUCGGAAUCGAAUGAAGGAUAUCGAGAAAAGUGAUCAGUCAGUCUUAAUAGGGCAGAAACAAUUAGUUCUAUAGUCAAUAGAAGUAACCAUAUUUUUUUCUCUCGUAUAGAGCGUAUCAAUAAGUUUAUCAACUUAUACUUUAUUAUUUAUUUUACCUCAAGCAAAAUGAAUUCUUUUUCGUAUUUGGCGUUUACUGAAUCGGAUCGGAUCGAAGUAGUUAACAAAAGUCCUUACUAGUUUUAUCGCAUCAAUUUAUCAUAUAUUAUUCCCAUGAAAGUGCGUUUUGUCUUAUCUCAUUUAGUCGUUUAGUUUUAACUCGUAAUAAGUAUAACCCCCUACUGAAGAGACAAACAUAUAACUGCUGUUAUCUAGAUAUUAAAACUAUUUCCGUUUUUUUGAUAUUAUUGGAUGAAAUCGACUUAUUUCUCCCGAAUAAAAAAAAAAAAAAGAAAUCUAUAUUUGAUAAGCUUGUUAUGAAUCGUGGAUUUGAAAGUGAUUUGACUUCAUGGGCAAUGGCGUAGAAUAAUAAAUAUCAACCAUUUGAAAGUAGCGUAGAAAUGAAAACAAAUUUAUCAUUUUUUUUUUUCAUUCACUAGUGAACAAGCAGCACAGAUAUUUCCAAAAUGUAGCGUGUGUAGUUGAAUUGGUAGCCUAAAAAAAAGCCACAAAUAUAUCAACGCUGAGUGGAUUGCCAAACGCUUGAAAUAUAGUGAGAAUCUGCAAAUCAA
This is an RNA transcript of Aedes albopictus (Asian tiger mosquito), 3295 nucleotides long. It is a transcript of the gene named phosphorylase b kinase gamma catalytic chain, skeletal muscle/heart isoform, with no coding region annotated. The transcript has 12 exons. The record is from RefSeq and is a predicted model, not a curated record. NCBI's taxonomy places the organism in Eukaryota, Metazoa, Arthropoda, Insecta, Diptera, Culicidae.